CUGCUGCUGCAGCAGGUACCGCGGAAGCAACAGUUUCGUGUUGAAUGGUGCGUGGACCCAUGACCGCAUCUACAGCCCUGUGUGCCACAGCACUUCCAGUACCAAAGGCCAUCCCUGUAAGACAUAAUGAUAAAACAGACAAGGGACAUACAUGAGCAUUUUUUUUGGAGAAUUGUAACAGAAAUUAAUCAACCUAUCAUUUGACUGGAUCCAAAGCCGAGUGUGCAAGGAGCGAGAGGGUUCCCUUCUUUUCAAAUCUUUUUUCUUUCCUUUAUGAGCAACUUCGAAAACGUAAAACAGACAAGAGACAUUUAUGAGCAAUUUAUUUGGAGAAUGGUAACUGAAUUUAAUCAGCCAAUCAUUUGACUGGAUCCAAAGCCAAGCGAGCGACGCGAGGCUUCCCUUCUCUUCACAUCUUUUUUCUGUCAU
This 429-nucleotide long non-coding RNA is filed under the name Nicotiana benthamiana. Its description in RNAcentral is "long non-coding RNA (NBEN_LNC021036)". The record is from RNAcentral. Lineage: Eukaryota; Viridiplantae; Streptophyta; Magnoliopsida; Solanales; Solanaceae.